CAGAUAUUAGUUUAUAAAAAAUAUUAAUUUUGGAGAUUAAAGAUAGAUCUUAUUUAUAUCUGA
RNAcentral lists this transfer RNA (63 nucleotides) under Galeruca interrupta. RNAcentral's name for it is "tRNA-Pro". Lineage: Eukaryota; Metazoa; Arthropoda; Insecta; Coleoptera; Chrysomelidae. The record is from RNAcentral.